RNAcentral lists this long non-coding RNA (21400 nucleotides) under Sorghum bicolor (sorghum). RNAcentral's name for it is "long non-coding RNA (SBIC_LNC007900)". The record is from RNAcentral. Lineage: Eukaryota; Viridiplantae; Streptophyta; Magnoliopsida; Poales; Poaceae.
GCCGGUCAUGAAGCUGGCAAGGACCUUCCACCGGGGUAGUAGUUCGCCGACUAGUUGUUGUAGAACUGCACGUACGUGGGCAUGUCGGUGUUGUCGCCGUAGCCGUAGAACUAGAAGUUGAUGUAGGCCCUGUUUGGUUUGCCUUGUUAAAUUUUACCAUCUGUCAUAUCGAAUAUUUAGACAUAUGCAUAAAGUAUUAAAUAUAUAUUAUUUACAAAACUAAAAACACAGUUAGAGAGUAAUUUACGAGACGAAUCUUUUAAACCUAAUUAGUCUAUGAUUGGACACUAAUUAUCAAAUAAAACGAAAAUACAAGUAAACUUUAACAACUUAAACCAAACACUAGUGCAAUCGAUCACGCCUGAGUACUUGCGCCACAGCGGCCGUAGUACUUUUGGAUCACCGGGUCCUCGAACGGCGCUUGGUCCUUAUGCAGGUCGGCAACAUAAUGCCUGUUUUGAAAUAGGUAUCUUUUUCCAUGACAGUUGUAGGAAAGAUAUGCGCCAGUCGGCAAUGAAAACUGUUCUACAAUGGAUAUUAUCCAAUAUAUGGAUUUUGCAGACAGUCCACAUUAUCUCGUGAACGAUAAAAUGGACCUAUUGCAUCCAAAAUAUCAUUUUUCCAUGCAUAUAUGCCAUAAAGUCGUUGGGACAAAAUGGUCCUAUUGCUUCAUGAUGUUUAAUGGUGAUUUUGGCUAAGAAAAAGGGUUCCAUGAACAUGACGUGACCUCUUAAUUCUCCGCAUGCCUCCGUGCAGAUAACCAUUCCAGCAAUCGAACGAGGCGUUGUAUAUGGACCAGCAAUUAGUGGAACGAAACAGGAUACAUAAGUCUUUUCGGCAGAGAUUACUUUCACUGUACCGGGCUUCCCCGAAGAUGAUGAUGUUUGAAGCUAAAAUGUUUUCCAUCAUUUGAAAAUAAGUGUGGCUGUUGCCAUAUUUACCAAUCAAAUAUAGCACAAUACGAGAAACACAAGAUGCAUUUUAACAGACAGGCAACAAGGAUUUCUAGACACGGGUGAUCUCGCCCAACUCUAUAUAUGGUAUGAUCUUGAUAUAAUAUAGGAGAUGGUUCAUGUCCCCUUUUGAAAAUCUAAGAAAAAAAUAGAAAACUAGGUUUGUCAAGGAUAUUCCUAAGCUGAAAGAGGGAGGGGGGCCCACGCACAGCUGGUGAAGGAGAGAGGGCUCGUGCGCUUGCCAUGGAAUCCUUGUCUUCCAUGCUUAGAACAUUCUCUCUAUGGUGGUAGGUCAUAAGAGCAACUCCAACCCACCUCCUAAACAAGUUCCUAUUCUAAAUCUAAGGAUUUGAUCCAAAAAAAUCAACUCCAACCCACCUUUUACUUGGGCUCCCAUUUUCCAUGCCCUCCCAAAUUAUAGUUUCAGCCCCUCACAUCUAGAACCCCCUAUCCAGUGGGUCUCACCCACAUUCAUCUCCCCACCCAUAAAUCAAGACAAGAAUUAUAAAUGGUGGAGUUGAUGUAGGAUUUGUCAAUGACAGGUGGAUCCCAUGUGAGAUAAGGACUUGGUCUGUUUUUUUCAUUGGAGUUGGGUCUUAAUUUGAGCCCCUACUUUUUUUAUCAUAGCAUGUAAAUAAAAGUUUAAGGGCUUAAAUUAGGGACUUGGGCUGGAGUUGCUCUAAGCAUCAUUGUCCUCCUCUACCUUGAGUUGCCACGGGUAGGGGAUUAGGACUAAGUCCGUCGGAUGUAUAAUACUCCCUUCAUCCAUGAAAGAAUUAAUUUCUAGAGUUAUUCUAAGUCAAACUUUUUAAACUUUCACCAAAUUUCUAGAAAAAAAUGCUAAGAUUUAUGGUACCAAAUUAGUAUCAUUAGAAUUAUCAUAGAAUAUAUUUUCAUAUGAUGUGCAUCUUAUGUCAUAGAUGUUGUUACUCUUUUCUAUAAAAUUAGUCAAACUUUAAAAAGUUUGACUGGCACGGAUUCUAGGAAUUGAUUCUUUCGUGGACGGAUGGAGUAGCUGCAUUUUUAUGUAGUAUGGACUAUAUAUCACCCCAAAGUGGAUUUGUAGGCUAGUGUUAGCUUAGGGGCAGUUCAGGGUUUGUCCAAACACCUAUAAGUGAGGUAUAUGGCUGGUGUUAGAGCUAUUCUUGAAACCCUAAUCUCAUUUUCUGUAGGUUUAGCGAAGUUCUCAUCAAAAGAGAGAGAGAGAGAGAGAGAGACUAGGGUCAUAGAGAGAGUUAAUUAACUCUUGCUCCAGUUUUUCAAUUUGUUAGUGGGGUAAUGAUGGAAGGAAGAAGCUAGAUCUAUCUUGUAUAGAUGAACUAUUAUUUUUCAGACUAUUUUCAUGGAAAUUGUCCUUUGUUUUUUGACAGCGAUUUUGGUUGGGAUUAUUGAGGAAAACAAGUGCUAGAACAUGUGAGGAGAUGCUUAUAUCAUCAAAUCUGGGUUUCACCCAAAGUAGUUCUUCCCUUUCAUUAGUUUUUUCUUUGGUUUCUGAAAUUCAUGCUAAAAACUCAAUCUUUCGGGGUGCCUAUGGUAGCUGUGGAUAGCAUAUGAUGUUAUGAGGUCAUGGUUAAAAUCUCAGCUUAAUCAUAUCCGAUUUGGUUAAGUUAUGAAUUUUCUUAGGCCUCGUUUAGUUCCUCCGCAAAACCUAAAAUUUUUCAAGAUUUCCUGUCACAUCGAAUCUUUGGACACAUGCAUGAAGCAUUAAAUAUAGACGAAAAUAAAAACUAGUUACACAGUUUAUCUGUAUUUUGCGAGACAGAUCUUUUGAGCCUAGUUAGUCUAUGAUUGAACAAUAUUUGUCACAUACAAACGAAAGUGGUACAGUGCUUAUUUUAAAAAAAAAUGGAACUAAACAUGCCUCAGAGAGCCUGAUCUCUCGUGGACCCACUCGGAGUUUCUUCCGGUGGGUGUGGACUAGUCUUCUGUCUGUAUUGUACCUUUCCGGUGCCUGGUCCACUUCGAUUUUUUUAAUUUUUUUUUGUGCUAAUUUUGCUCUCUUUCUUCAUGUCUCUGCUCGUGGUUGCUGCUGCUAGAGGACAACAGAGUGCGGUAGCUUCCUUUGCUGUCCAAUCACGUCGACGCUCACCCAGCUGCAGUAGAUAGACAUAACAGCAACCGCUCACAAGGGGAAAUGUGGAUUGGAUUAUCUUGCUUGUGCAAGAUCACAAGUCCAGCUGCAUCAGUAGCAAUUCUGCUGAAGAUAUACGUGUUUUCCCGAAGCAAAGCAAUCCUUUCUGCUGCAAAAGAUGCAGCAGCGUGCACGGUGCACAUGUGUAGUCAAACCAGGCGGAUAUAUAUAUAUAUAUAUAUCUCCAGUACUGUUGGUGCAUGCAUAUCGUCUCCAGUUGUCACAUGCAUAUGGGCUCGUUACUUGUCAACGUCGUCAUAGUUAAUUACGAUUAUUAUUCCGCGCCAACGUCGAAGAUGAUAUUAGCUAGGAACAGAGCCACACGCGUCCUUGCGUGCAUGGAACAAUGGAUGAUGCAUCCUUCCACGAAGCCGACGAAUUUUAACCGAAGAAGAUUUGUAGCCAACUGAAACCGCAAGCCACGCACGUACGUAGCCGUCGGCAGCCACCGAUGUUGAAUUGCCCGCUUCCCGGCGUAUAUAUCGCUUCGUGGAUGAGGACUCCGCUGGAUUUAGGGAUGUAUAUAGGCCGUUGAACAGCGGAAGUCAUCACAGCUUAUGCAGCUGUGUGAUGUACUUAUCAUAGGUACGUACAACUUAUGCUUAUGCUUAUGCGACAGUGAAAAUUAUGAUCACUGCCAGUUAAAAAACUUCUAGUGAUGUGAACCCAUCACUGUCGAUUUGAUUGUGCCAGUUCAAAAUCUGUUAGUGAAAGGAGAGUUGAAUUGGCAUUAUCCUGUUCGCUUGAGCUUAUCUGUCAAAUCUAACAGCAAUUUAAUAAUGUUUUUUUUUCUUAUAAUAAUUUAGCAAACAACCUAUCAGCCAAGUAAAUAGGCUAGCUGAUUGGGGUAGUGAGUACUAAAGACAGUUAGGCCUAGGGACCUUGUUGUUUGUCAUUAAUUAACAAAACCAUACGAAACCUAUUCUAUGGUCAUUGAUUCUUAUCACGUCAAUCGGGGCUCUCAAAACAAUCAGCUAGAUACAUGAGUAUAUACAUGAUCUCUGCUUGCUAACAGCAGUCCACGCAAAUGUACAUCAAUGGGAGUCAUAAGUCAUCAUUUAUCCUACUGUGCAUAUUUCUCGGCGUCUGUGGAAAUUCUGUGACGUCUAGCAGCCGAAUUUGACCUACUCCUUUCCAUAUAUCGCAUGGAAAAUAUUUAUUGUUCUUCCAGAUUCCAGAACACGACGACAUCAGACAUGUCUGAGUGCAGUCAAGGAGUGGACAACGCCUAUAAAUGCGUCCCCCUUGCCUCCUCCCUUGAAGCGUGCACAGCAGCUACUACCUGUUGGAAAGAGAGGCCGAUCGAUCCAUCCUGUCAGCAGCCAUGACGAACGGCUACCUGUUCCGUGAGUACAUCGGCGCGCAGUCCACCGGCGUGCAGUUCUCCGACGUGCCCAUCAACGCCUUGCUCAGCUUCCACUUCAUCCUCUCCUUCGCCAUCGACUACACGCCGGUGGGGCAGCAGCCGAAGCCGGUGCCGACCAACGGCGUGUUCAGCCCGUUCUGGGACACUGGCAACCUGACCCCGGCCGCCGUGGCCGCCAUCAAGGCCGCGCACCCCAACGUCGCCGUCAUGGCGGGGCUCGGCGGCGACAGCGUGCAGGACAUCGUCAAGGCCGUCUUCACCCCGACCUCCGUCGACUCGUGGGUGGGCAACGCCGUGGCGUCGCUCACGGGCAUCAUCAACACGUACGGGCUCGACGGCGUGGACGUGGACUACGAGCACUUCGCCGACGGCGCCGACGUCGACACGUUCGUCGAGUGCAUCGGCCGACUCCUGACGCAGCUCAAGCAGAAGAUGCCCAACAUCGCCACCUCCAUCGCGCCGUUCGAGGACCCCGUGGUUCAGAAGUACUACCAGCCGCUCUGGAGCAAGUACUCCGGCGUCAUCGACUACGUCAACUUCCAGUUCUACGGCUACGGCGCCAACACCGACGUGCAGACGUACGUCAUGUUCUACAACAACCAGUCGGCGAACUACCCCGGCGGCAAGGUCCUCGCCAGCUUCAAGACCGGCAACGUCACCGGACUGCUCUCGCCGGAGCAGGGCAUCAGUGCGGCCAAGGAGCUGCAGCGGCAGAACAAGCUGCCCGGGCUGUUCAUCUGGUCAGCGGACAGCUCCAAGCAGAGCAGCUACGGCUUCAAGUACGAGACGGAGGCGCAGCAGAUCAUUGCCAACCACUGAUCUGCCGGAUCAGGACUUGGCUUAACAAGGGGUCACACUUUUUAUAUUACAAUAAAUAAAUAAUAAACCUCUCAGGUCAACAACAAUUACUUGCUGGUUAAAUUAAAGAGGUUGGUGUUGAUUCAAUGAUCAGAAUAAUGGUGACUGAAAAAAAUGCAAGUUUAAGGAACUUAAUAAGCUUGUUGUUUGCGUGCAGUAUUAUUAAGAGUGAAAACCAGUAUAUCCACCUCCUGUGUUUGGGUUCUGCGAAGCACUGGAGCAUUACUGGAAAUUCGUAGAUCUCAUCGAGAUUUUUUAUAUAAAUAUUUAUCCGACACUAUAAAAAAUGAUUUUUCAAAUACAACAAGCUUUGGUACGUGAUUAAUAUGAUCCUCAAACUUUAGAUUACUCUUUGAGCAUCUUAAUGAUUUCAAAUGAUAAAACUCAAAACUAAAAAUUUGUAGAUCUCAUCGGAACUAAUAAUUUUUAUAUAUAAAGUAUCUUUAUAUGACACCAUACAAAAAUGAUAUAAUUUUUCUAAGAUGACAAACCCUGGUACAUGGUUAAUAUGUUGCUCAAACUUUUAUAUUGUUUUUGGAGCAUCUUAACAAUCUCAAGUGAUAAAAAGUCAAAUUUAAAAUUUUGUAGUGUUUAUGAGAGCUACAAUUCACACAAAAUAUUUUUAUCCAACACCAUACAAGAAAGAUAUGAUUUUUAGAAAUGACAAGCUAUGGUAUGCUGCUGAAAUUUUAUAUUAUUUUUUUAGCAUUUUAACGAUCUUAAAUGAAAACACAAAACUAAAAAGUUGUCUCAUCAAGAUGUAAAAAUUUUAUAUAGAAGUCAUCUUAAUCCAAAAUAUAUAGAUUUGAUUUUUGUAAGGUGGAGUACUGGAGUUUUGUUGUUGACAUGUUGGCCUCGUUUACCAGAUUCAUGCUACAUAAGAUAGGGGUGAGUAGACGCCGGUUUAGGUCUAUAUAAGACCCCUUAUAACUUUAUAUAGCUACUAAGGCCUUAUUUAGUUCGCAAAAAGAAAAGUUUUUAGGUAUUGUAGCACAUUUAUAACUAUAGUAAUAAGGGUGUGUUUGGUUUAUUUCUUACACAAGCCUAACUAGCAAAAUUAAGCCAGGCUAGUCUUAGCCUGCUCCAACUAAGCCAAUUCACACUUGUUUGGUUGUCUGCAUUGUAUUAGCCUGGCUAUGACACAUGUUUGUUUGGUUGGUUGGCUUACUUUGUAUAGAGUCACCUUUUCUUUAGGAUAGUGAGUUCACGCCCUCUGAGACACAUUGUGUCGAACAGCUGUUGUGCGCACUCCUCGCCACCAUCCUCCUCCUGUAGGUCCACAGCAGCACCGACAUGAGGAAGGAGGAAGCAAUGGACCACGACAUCUUCUUGUGCCGCGCCUGCUCCUGCGACUGCCGCUACCUGUUGCUGCUGGUCUCAUUCUUGGAGCCAUGGAAGCCGAUGGAAGGGGCGACCGCUCUGCUGCUGCUCCUCCUUGAGGUGCCGAAGAGGAGGGUGGAGGAGCAGAACUUGUUGGCUAAGGCCUUGUCUAGAUCCAAAAACUUUUUGGAUUUUGACACUGUAGCACUUUCAUUUUUAUUUAACAAACAUUGUCCAAUCAUGGAGUAACUAGGCUUAAAAGAUUCAUCUCGUGAUUUACAUGUAAACUGUGCAAUUAGUUAUCUUUUUAUCUAUAUUUAAUGUUACGUGCAUAUGCCGCAAGAUUCGAUGUGAUGGGGAAUCUUGUAAAGUUUUGGUUUUUUGGGUGCAUCUAAACAAGGCCUAAGUGGAAGGAAGAGGGAGCGAGGCACAGACGAAUCACACAGGACGGUGGCAUAGGGGAAGCAAGCCUCGAUUCUGCGUCCGCAUCACGGCGGGCCUCCACACCCAGGUCUCAUCGUCCUCUGACUCUGGGGGUAGGUACGCGAGCACCACCUCUGCGAGGAGCGACGGUGCUAGUAGGCCGGCAGUCGGCGGCGGCCUUGUGCGCAUGCAGCUGGUCGCGCCGGCAUCACGAGGCGCGUGGAGGGAUUGCGGAGAAGCACGACACCUUCAACCAUGGCGGCGCGCAUGAAGGGUAGAGGAGGAGGGGCGGACGGUGCAGCCCAUGUAAAGGACGAGUAGUACAGAGCGAAACUAGGUGGUGACGAGAAGGAGCACCAGAGCUGGCUUAGCCUGGCUCUAGAAGAAACAUCAACCCUGUGUUUCUUUCUGGACCUGACUCCAGGCGUGCGGAUGCCCAGAUGGAGCCUGGCUUCAGGGGCUGUCCAGGGAACCAAACAACAUAAAUUUGGCCCAACCAAACACACCCUAGUCCCUAAGUGUCUAAUCAUGGUAUUAGGCUCAAAGAUUCGUCUCAUAAAAUACAUACAAACUGUGUAAUUAGUUAUUUCUUAUCUAUAUUUAAUGUUCUAUGUAUAUGUUCAAACAUUCAAUGUGACGAGGUAAAAAAAUUUUAGAUAAAAACUAAAUGGGUCUAAAAAUAUAUUUUGAAACUUUAGGAUGACAACUCUAGAAUAACUUUUGAGUCACCUGUGGAGCACCUCUCGUCGCGGUUAGCCAAAUGGACGUACUGUAGGUGGGCUAGGAGAUGUAUGUGGGCUGCUUUUGGCUGCUGUGACUGUUGGUCAGUUUUGGCCUCGGUUAAUUUCAAAAUUUUUGUAAAAUUUUUCAAGAUUUCCUAUCACAUCGAAUCUUAUGGGAUACACAUGGAACAUUAAAUAUAGAUAAAAAUAACUAAUUACACAGUUUGCCUGUAAUUUGCGAGACGAAUUUUUUGAGCCUACUUAGUCCAUAAUUGGACAAUAUUUGUUAAAUACAAAUAAAAAUGCUACAGUGUCCGUUUUGCAAAAAAAAAAGCAACUAAACAAGGCGUUUGCUUACUUUCAAGUUUCAAAUUUCUUCCUAGCGAGUGGUGGCCCAUAUCACAUUUCUAUUGAAAAUUAAUUAGGUACAUCAAGUUUCUUUUAGGUUUUUAGAAAAAUGAUUUUAUUCUAGUCUCUUCUUUUAUGUUUUUAGAAAAAUGAUUUUAUUCUAGUCUCUUCACCAUAAGUUAUACAUAUAACCAUCCAUUAUUAAAAACACACAUGGACGAAAAACGACUUAUGCUCAAAGACAACUACACAUUCCUGAUGGUGCAACUUUUGAUCGUGGGUUCUUCUUUGAAAGUUUUUGUAUCGCGGGUUUGUUGUGUUAUUCACGUCUAUAACUUCAUUAUGUGUGUAGUGUAAGGGGGGGUGUUUGGCACUGCUCCACGAACUCUGCUCCACAAACUCUACCAUAGAGCAGCUCCACAAAAAACUGGAGUUCUUGGAGUACCUCUUUAGGUGCUCUCACAACUCCACUAUUUUAUCUCAAACUGAGUGCGUGGAGCUAAAACCGUUUGACUAAAAAACAUGGAGCGGACUGAAAAACGUGGAGCAGAGCAGUCCCAAACACCCCUAGAUAUGAUAGAAAGCGUCUCCUAGUUUUUUCCGAUGUAAGUUAUUCCUUAUUAAAUCUCUUUGAACCUUAAAUAAUUAAUCUUAUAGUGUGAUGAAGAUGUUAGAAUUCUAGGUUUAGUUUAUAUCAAACCAUCUCAAAUUAUAUGAAAUUUAUGGAAACUAUUAUCAACAAUUUUUUAUAACUUAGAAUAAACAUAAUAUCCAAUUAUGGUUUAUGCAAAAUUAAAUUAUACUUAUUUCAUACGCUGUAUAUUAUUAUCUUUUCAUAUAAAUUUAUCAAACUUAAAUAAAUGCUUCAAUAAUUUAUAUUGUAGGACAAAGCUAAAAACUGUGUUUUUUUAGCCAAAAAACUGCGGAUUUUGGAUGGUAGGACGCCAGAGCACGAGAGAGAAACAACGCACGUGAAACGACAGCCCUGGCAUACGAUCUAAUCUAGCUACUCACUGACAUCCGGGCUCCACACCCGAGUCAACCUCAAUACCACCUCACCUUCCGUACACCGGGCCCAUACGCCGUAGAACGCAAUCCGCCCGCACCAAAAUAUCGGACGCCCCACCAACGGACAAACCCACCGCACCAUACACCGGGUCCACGCAGCCUUCAGACCGUCUGUCCACCUCCCGCUCCGAUCGGGGAGGAGGCGGAGCGUGGCCGCGGCGCCGACCGAGACCGAUCCCCGCGGUGAAGCAGAGACUCUGCGCGUAUAAAUACCCGACCUCGCCGGCGCCCGCGAGCUUCGAGAAAACCUCCCCUUCGCCGCGCCUUUACCCUACCCUAACAGCCUAGCUAGCUUGCGGCGCUCCACUACCACUCGCUGCUACUGCACCUACUUCCGCUCUGCUACUGUUGCUGCUGCUCCGGGUGGUGGUGGCACCGAAACCCUAGCCCCUGCCGUGAUGUCGCUGCAGGAGGCUGCGGACCCGCCGCCUUCGGCGACGGACGAGCGUCCGGGGGGUCUCCCGCGGAGCGGCUCCGCUAGCCGCCUCAACGCGCAGGCGCCGGAGUUCGUGCCGCGCGCUGCUGCCGCGGUGCCCCCGCCCCCUCCGCCGCAGACGGUGGUGCGUCUGUUCGCGCCGCCGCCUCCUCCCGCGGCGUUCUUCGUCGCGGCACCCCCGCCUCCGCCGCCCCCGUUCGAGUACUAUGCGGCUGUUGCCGCCGGUGGGGGUGCCAGGUUCGGUCCUCCCCCCGCCGAGCAGGAGCCCGAGGCUGAGCAGCCGCCGAGGGACGGGAGCUUCGACGACCCCGUGCCCAAGAUCAGGAAGCAGGUGGGUGGAUGUGGAUGCUCCUCUCCGUCGUAACUGGUGAUCCCUGAUACGAUAGGUGCAAUUGGAUCACUAGAUCAGGAAUAGAAUUUGCUCAAUUUGCGACAUUUUUAUAGUCUCACAAGCUGUAUGCGUCAUCCGAUGUGCUUCCCAGUAGUCUCACGAGGAAUGAAAUUUGCUUAAUGUGGAGUACAUCUUUUAGUCUCACAGAUAUGCUUGGACACAUGCCAUGAAAAAUCUGUUUGCUACUUUGGCCACUUUAGAUGUGUUUGCAUUGAACAGAAAGGCAAGCAUUGUUCAGAUUGAACUGCCUGCUUUUGAUGUGCCAAUGGUAGUGUAGGAGGCUAGGAGCUGCGUAGUGCACAUGCUAUUUAGUUGUGGUGAAAUGGAGCAAGGGGCAGAGCUACAUGAACUUACUGGGAUCAGCUGACCGGUAUAAAUCUGGCAAAUCCUAGUAUCCUAUACAAAAUCACUGUUUACUAAGUAUAUUUAAGUGAUGAUUAGUGGUACUGACUCCGGUGAUUCCAUUGCCUAGCUCGGCCCCUGAAUGGAGCUGCUAGCAAUUUGAACUUGUCAAAAUUUUGGUACUUUGCUAUUUGUGUACUUGUAGUAUCUGUCAGGAUGGAUAAUGUUUCAUGGUAAUUUCCUUGUCUCUUUAAGUAAUGAUGGUAGGGGAUUUUUGGUUCAUUUUUAGUUUAAGCUAAUGAAUUGAUUUCCUACCUUUCCUGUGUUUGGAUGUUGAUAAAUCAUGUUUAAGAAAUCAGGUAACAAGGAUGCAUCGUGGUUUCAGGAUCUAUUUCUUUUUACGCGAUCUACUUCAAUAACUCAUUUAAGCCCUAACCCAUUGCAUGCUGUUGGGAGGUAGAUGUGUGAUGGACUCCAAUUGGUGACUUCAUACUAUAAACAAUCUAGGAUCAUUUAAUAUGUAAAGUUCCACUGGUCAAGGAAGCAGGUGCCAAACUAUCACUUGACGGUCGUAUUGAAUGAAAUGACAAAUUUUGUGAUGAUUGGGCUGUCAUCUCUUAGUUGUAUCAAGAUUUAUAUUGUUUAGUUGAGACAGUGUUUUUAAGGCAUCGCGUAGGCCGUGAGGCACUCGCAGGGAACAAUAUGUCCCCGAUGUGCCUAACUAAAAGUGUGAGAGAUCCAACGGGACUGUAGUCAGAACAGAGGAAAACGAAAGGCCAUGCAGCCGCCUCCUCUCUCAUACGCACCAAAACCAGCGCCACCUGGGUCAUCUUCGGCAGCAGCGAUGGAUCUAGAAGGGGGCCACCAUAGAGAACUAUCUGAGGAAGCAGCUCAUUGAGGAGUAACGAGCAGCAGCAAAAGGGGGGGGGAGAGGAGCAGAGGGCACCGCACGAGUGAGAGUAGUGUGCGGGAGGGAUAUGCGGCGGCGCCGUACCUGUGUGAGAGAGAAGCAGAGAGCCGGGCGCAGGCAGUGUGUGUAUGCAUGGGAGCGUGCGCCCGUGUCUUCGUGACCUAUUUACAUGAGAAGGGGUAUUUAAGGGAGGGCCCUCGUGGGCUGCCUAGUGGGAUGGGCCAUCCACUUCUCUUUUAAUUUGCCCUUUUCUGGUUUUUAUUUUUUCCUUUUCCUUUCCUCCUCUGCUGCUAUUUUCCUAUUUCUUAGGAUUGUAAGGUGUCGCCUCACCUCGCCUUAUCAUUGUGAGGGAGUAGGUCACCACGGCUCGCCUUACCACCUUAAGAACCAUGGUUGAGAGGGACUGCACCACUACCGUUGUAUUAAUGCUGCAAGAAAUUUAACUUCUCAAAUUUAUACCUGAGGAUUGAUUUGAUUUUGAUGGGUUAAGCAGUUAGACUUGACGGACCCUUCUGUUGGGUAAUGGCAGUGAAGAAAAAGUGGGCUUUGACUCCCUAAUCUUCGGUAAUGGAUUGGUUGUUCAAUGAUCCAGUAUCAGGGGCUUUAUUGGUGGGAAGGAAGAACAUAGAUUGUAGCUGAAAGAAGUUAACAGGCAAGGAGCUGGAAGUUAUCAAAAAAAAGGGAAAAAAACCUUGGCCGGUGGGGGGAAAGACCACCCCCAUGGUUUUGGUCUAAGAAGAAAUUCUCAGUUCCCCGACCGAGAAAAUCCCCGAACCCCUGCCCCACCCUUACACAGCGCAUCGUUACCCUGGGGAUGGUUUGAACACACGACGUAUGCUUUGAGUGGUGGCAGGCGAGGGGAUUUUUUUAACCCAGCCUGAAAUUUGCUCCCACGGGGAGUCGAACUCAGGACCUGGGAGGUGCUGCAAGGAUUUGCUAGCCAUCUGGACUAGAGCCCUUUGGCAGGAGAUGGAAGCUAUCACUGGUGGUGAUGGUGGUGGCAAUGGCAUGCAUAGGGAAGCUAGGGGUGGAAUGGUGGUGUCACUUGGAAUAGAUAAGUAGAGGAGGUUGAAUCUCUUUUCUUGUUUGAUCCAAAAUGGGUACAUGGAGUUUCCAAAAAAAAGGUGGGGGUAGUACAUGGCUUCUCAAUAUAGAAACCUAACUUGACUCCCAAAGAAUUAAUAAAUUGAAUCCUUAUAGAUUGGGUCCACCCUUUCCUAAUAGUCUCUACUUUCCUAGCUUUAAUAGCGAACAGUCUCAACUUUCCUUAAAAAAAGUAAAAAAACCAACUAUAUCAAAAGGUAUCUUGCCGAUGGGGUCAAGUUGAUGAAAUAAGGGAAAGGGUGCGUGCACCACUUCCCGCAGCAGUGCCUUUUUUGGUUUGUUGGGCUAAGCCAACCCAUGGUCUGGUGGCCCAUGACAUCCAGAGGGUAGGCAUUUUUAUUCAUUUGAAUGCAUGUUGAAGGCGAAAGAACUUGACGUCCAUGUUUAGAGUAUGAUCUGUAGUUCUAGUAUCUGCUCCCAUCGAAAUGUGCGUAUAUAGUGUUAAUGUGCUAUAAUUGAAUUGAAAUUUUCAAAUUGUGAACUUAUAUAGGACUAUAGGAGGGUGGAUUGUUUGUGAUGUUGAACUACUCUAGGCUUAUUUAAUACAUUAUUAUGGGAAAUUUUUGGUGGCAAUGAUUUGCUCUAUUUGGUUGAGCAACCCCUAUUCAAUAUUUUAAUUUGUAUUCAAGUUUGCUAACUUCGAAUUCCAUUUCUUUUAGUUAUUAGUUUGUUUGUUUCAUUAAAUUAUAAUUUUUCAGGCCCUAGAGCUCUGAUUAUUUAAUUACUUUGUUUGAACCAAAUCAUAAUGUCAUAUUUGGUUCCAUGAUUUUGUGUUAUAUUGUACUUCAUGGUUUUGUGUAUAUUAUACUUCACAGUUUUGUGUUAUUUCAUCCUUUUUGUUAGCAUUUCUAGUAAGAAAUUGUUCAUGGGAUGUACCAAUUGUACUGCAAAAUCAUUAUAGCAGUCGUCGGCCGUUUAAAGUUGGAGAAAAGUUGUUGACAUGCUUACUUUAGUGCAAAAUUGUUUUUACGAAAUGCAGUAAAAUUGUACUGGGAGUUUUUUUGGCCUUAAUCACGUAUUCAUGUUGAUAAGAUGGUUCCUUAGUGAACAUUGGGUAACUAAAAUUAAAAUGAAGAUGAAGAUCUAUUCUUCUGUUCGUUAUCAAAUAUCAACUGCCAUUGGUGCUCUGUAGUUCUAAUCUGAUGGUGCUUCAUUUUAUGUUUUGGUUCAGCCAGUGUUGAAUUUUAAUUUGCUAUAUUAAAUUAAAUUUCGUAGUCUUGUGAAUGGUAGUGGCCUAGAAAAUCCAGACAAUGACAAAUUGUUGCAUCUUAUUUUGUGUUGUAAAAUUACAUCUUAUUUUUCCUGUUUUUUCUGAUUUCUUAAAAUCUGACCAUGUAGGUGGAGUAUUAUUUCAGUGAUAUAAACCUGGCCACCACUGAACAUUUGAUGAGGUUUAUUUCAAAGGAUCCUGAAGGAUAUGGUGAGUCGCGUGCUUGCUUCUGAAGCUAGUUUAUUUUGAUGUGCACAUAUGAAGUUAUUACAUUGAUACCAGUUGUUGAAUUUAUGGUUUUUCUUUUUGAAAAAAAUAUCAUUGUUUAAAACUUAUAGCUUCUUUCCAUCAUUAGAAACCAAGUCAUUUUUAAAGAAUUUCUAUUUUAAGGUGAUGGUCAGAAUCAUAUUAGGCUUUGAAAGGUGAUAUUGACAUUGUCAUGGAGGUUUAUUUGCAUAUAUGAAGGGUAUUGUUCAAUUACUUACAUUGAUUAUAUCCUGUUUAAUUUGUGACAUUAUCCUACUGGACUAAUUUUCUGAUAGAUGCACUUUUGGUUGGAUGCAUCUUAUCAGGAUAAGAUCCAUUCAGUGUACUCAAGAUUUGCUUCAUGGAGCAAAUGGUUUUUGGUUGUUUUUUCUUACCGUGAACUUGGAAUCAAUUAAUUUUUACUAGUACUUCCCUUUUUUGAAGUGCAAUCUAUUAUGCAUUCUCUUUUAUCGAAAUUAAUAAAAGAAAAAUGGUUACAAUUUUUAUUAGAAUGGUGCCCUCAGUCUCCUUAUCAGUAUGCUAUUUUUUAUUCAACCGCUUCUUUUGUGGAAGCUGUUUGUGCUUAAUGUGAAGAAAUCUAACUUUUAUUAUUGAAGUGGAUAAAUGCUUUUUUAGUGGGAAAACUAAUGUGCUUUCUCACUCAAUGUAGUGCCAAUGUCAGUUGUUGCUGGCUUUAAGAAAAUUAAGGCUUUAGUGCAAAGUAACUCCAUGCUUGCUUCUGCUCUUCGGACUUCUUCAAAGCUUGUAAGUUCCGUGAUAAUCCAAUUGGGUAGUUACACUUGACCCUGACAUACACUAUUGUGUUCUGAAGUUUCUUACUUACAUUCAAUACUUCAUAGAUCAUAGGCAUAAGAUUAGAGGCAUCAUACCCUCACUGUUGGUUAUGUCCUCUGGAAAUCCAUGUUGCUUAUCUCUGCAACAGUAUUUUUUAAUUAUUUUGGGCAUAUAUACAGGUGGUCAGUGAUGAUGGAGCAAGAGUAAAACGUGAGCAACCAUUUACAGAAUCAGAUUUAGAAGAACUCCAGGUGACUAGCAACCCUUUGUACAUUGAAUGGCACUGCCCCCAUUAAUAUUGAAUUAUUCUCUAGCUAUAAAAAAACCUUCGCUAGACUGUCAGAUAAGGAAUACCUGUUCUGUUUUGCAGGCCCGAAUUGUUGUUGCAGAAAAUCUCCCAGAUGAUCAUUGUUACCAGAAUCUAAUGAGGCUCUUUUCAGCUGUUGGCAGGUAAACGUUAAUGUAGGUCUAUAUCAAGUGGACCACUUUCUAUUUACUCAUGAAAAUGGAAAGAACCAUAUACUGUAUUUCUAAUUUAUUUUGUUUUGUCAUUUGCCAGUGUGAAGACAAUUAGAACUUGCUAUCCUCAGACCCCAAACGGCACUGGUCCAGCUACUAACAGAUCUGCAAAGCUAGAUAUGCUUUUUGCCAACAAAGUAAUUACCUUCUCUGUUCGUACUUUAAUAUCAUGUUAUCGGGAAAUGAACUCUAGUAGUUACUGUAAAUAAAUGUCUCAUAGGGUCCAUUGAAUUGGAAAUAGAUAUGCUUUUUGCCAACAAAGCUGUCAUGUGCGGCAUUCCCUAUACCAGAAGAAGGCGCGCCCGCGACGUACGCAGGGCGGCCGAGCGAGCCGCGACCAAAGGCCAGGAGGCCGUGGCGCGCACCCAGACGCAGGCGAGGGAGGCCCAACCGACUAGUGGCUAAGAUUAGGAAACAAAUUAGAUUUAUUCCUUUUAUUUAGGAGUGAUUUCCUCCAUGCGGUUAGCAGCUUGGACUAUUUAUUCUUGUAAUCAGCAUUGGUUGAAUUAAGCAAGAACAAUUAUCUCCUUCUCCCUCGUUCUCAAGCCCAGGCAACCGUGAGGGACAUAACCUCCGCUACUCUAAGACACGGUAGGAGACUACGAACUCCGUAGUCGAGGGCCGCCUAUCCUAGAUCGCUACGCCCUUGACAACUUGGUAUCUCAGUCACGCCGAUCCUCUUCCAGCCGCUCCGCCCAAAACUCUAACCCACCGCUGCCAACCACCGCGCCCGCACCCUAGCCGUCAGCCAUGAGCGAACCCACCCUUGCCGAUCUCCUGGAAUCCUUGAAAACAGUCACCACGGAGAUGACAGCCGUCAAGGUCGACCUGGCGGCCUUGAAGGAGAGGCCGGUCUCGUCGGCGGACAGCGACGAUUGCCGUUCGGAAGCAACGCGCGACCUGGACCUCCCCCCACAACCCAAGAAGUGGGACUUUCCCCGCUUACCGACCCACUGCUCUUCCUCAACAAGUUCGAAUCCUACUUUCGUCACCAUCGUACCAUGGCCGAGGAGCGCGUGGGGAUGGCGUCCUACCACCUGAACGACGUCGCGCAACUCUGGUACACCCAACUGCUGGAGGCCUCGGGCGCGCCAACGUGGGGGUGAUUCAAGGAGCUCCUGAACCUGUGGUUUGGGCCACCCCUCCGCUCAGCCCCGCUGUUCGAGCUCGCCGAAUGCCGGCGCACCAGGACCGUGGAAGAGUACGCAAAUCGUUUCUAGGCUCUCUUGCCUCGCGCGGGGCGCCUUGACGAGGCCCAGCGGGUCCAACUCUUAACCGCCGGACUCCUGCCACCCCUCAGCCACGCCGUCCGCAUCCACAACCCGGAGACGCUCGCGGCCGCCGAGUUUGGCGCGCCAAGUGGAACUGAUGGAGAGCGACCGGCCGGUGCAGCAACCACCGCGACUGCCCCCUCGCGGCCCCCUUCCACCCCCUGCGCCUCGGGCCGUCCUGCCGGCGCCUGCGCCCCUCCUGGCGCUCCCUGCCCCUCCAGUGGCCACCCAACAGGGCCGUGGCGAGGGCAACCCGCGGCGUCUCACCCCGGACGAGAUGGCCAAACGACGCUGCCAAGGUUUAUGCUUCAAUUGCAACAAAAAGUUCACCUGGGGCCACAACAGGUUUUGUCGACGCCUCUUCUUCCUCGACGGUGUGGAAAUUGAUGACGUCGAGGGCGACAGCGCCGCUGCGCGGCUGAUUCAGGUGCGCAGGAGGUGCCCGUGUUCAACAUACGGGCUGUAGCAGGGACGCCCACCACCGAGGCGUCACCAUGUUUCUCCCUCUCCGCUCUCGCGGGGGUACGCUUCACCGACACCCUCCAGAUCGGCGUCACCAUCGGCAGCGCCGUCUUCUCUGCGCUCCUGGACUCAGGCUCCUCACACAGCUUCAUCUCGAAGACUGCCGCGCGCCGCACCGGGCUGCCCAUCUCCGCCCAGCCACGCAUGACGGCGACGGUGGCUACCGGUGAGCAAGUCGCCUGCCCGGGCGUUCUGCGCCGUGCCCCGUUCUCCGUCUAGGGCGACGUCUUCAGCACCGACCUGUUCGUCAUGGUGCUGGCAGGGUACGAUGUUGUUCUGGGCGUGCAGUGGCUUGGCACGCUGGGUCCGGUGACGUGGGACUUCAAGCGCUGUACCAUGUCCUUCACUCAGUAGGGCCGCACGAUCUGCUGGCCGUGCGUCCAGGGCGUCGCGACGGCGGCCAUCUGCUCCACCACGGCCUCCGCAUCCCUCCUCGACGAGCUGCUGCACUCCUUUGACUCCGUCUUCGCCGAGCCUCAGGGGUGGCCUCCAUCGCGCUCUAGCCCAGCGCCUAGCCCGUCGCCGUGCGUCCGUACCGCUACCCCGCGACACACAAGGACGAGUUGGAACGCCAGUGCGCCACGAUGCUCACCCAGGGGUUGAUCCGCCGGAGUUCCUCGGCGUUCUCUUCGCCCGUCCUCGUCAAGAAGGCCGACAACUCCUAGCGCUUCUACGUCGACUACCGUGCCUUGAACGCCUUCACCGUUAAGGACGCGUUUCCCAUUCUAGUGGUCGACGAACUGCUCGAUGAACUCCACGGCGCCAAAUUCUUCACCAAGCUGGACUUACGCUCAGGCUACCACCAAGUCUGCAUGCGCCCGACCGAUAUUGAGAAGACGGCGUUCCGCACCCACGACGGCCUAUAUGAGUUCUUGGUGAUGCCGUUUGGGCUUUGCAACGCCCCGACAACAUUUCAAGCGCUCAUGAACGACAUCUUGCGCCACUUCCUUCGCCGGUUUGUGCUUGUAUUUUUCGAUGACAUUAAUCUAGAGCUCGUCGUGGGCUGACCACCUUCGCCAUCUUCGAGCCGUCCUCAGCGUGCUGCAGCAGCACCACUUGUUCGUCAAGCGCUCGAAGUGUGCCUUCGGGGAGUCCUCCAUCGCCUACCUCGGCCAUGUUAUUUCCGACACCGGUGUCUCCAUGGAUCCCGCCAAGGUCCAGGCGGUCCGGGACUGGCCGUAGCCGCGUUCUGCCCGGGCGGUCCGGGGAUUCUUGGGCUUGGCGGGCUACUACCGCAAGUUUGUGCACGACCACGGCACCAUCGUCGCCCUGCUGACGGCCCUACUGAAGGAGGGUUUCACCUGGACUGCGGACGCCACGGCAGCGUUCCACGCCCUCAAGACCGUCGUCACCUCGGCUCUAGUCUUGGCGCUGCUCGACUUCACCAAGCCCUUCGUGGUGGAGUGUGACGCCUCGAUGCAUGGCUUCGGCGCGGUGUUGCUGCAGGACAAGCACCCCAUCGCCUACUUCAGCCGCUUCGUCGUACCUCGACAUCGGUCCCUCGCCGCUUACGAGCGGGAAUUGAUCGGCCUCGUCCACGCCACCAGGCACUGGCGGCCAUACCUCUGGGGCUGGCGCUUCACCGUCAGGACGGACCACUAUAGCCUGAAGUUCCUCCUCGACCAGCGACUCGCAACGAUUCCGCGGCACCAUUGGGUUGGGAAGCUCCUUGGCUUUGACUUUGUCGUCGAGUACAAACCGAGAGCCCAGAACGUCGUCGCCGAUGCACUCUCCUGGCGCGACACCGUCGACAGCUUGGUACUUGCGCCUGCGUUUCAACUACAUCGCGCGGCUGCGCCAAGCACACGCCACCGACCCCGCCCUCGUCGCCAUCUGGGAAGAUCUCACGGCGGGCACCCGCUCCGCGCCCUGGGCCUUGGUCGACGGCUGGUCACCUUCGACAACAGGCUCUACGUCUCGCCUGCCUCGCCUCUUCUACAGGAGAUUCUGGCCGCGGUACACGGCGACAGUCAUGAGGGCGUCCAAUGCACCCUUCACCGCCUUCGUUGUGACUUCCACUUCCCCAACAUGCGCUGCGUCGUCCAGGAUUACGUCCGCUCCUGCGCAGUCUGCCAACGCUUCAAACGGAGCAUCUGCACCCGGCCGGCCUCCUCCUACCACUGCUCGUUCCGACUGGGGUGUGGACGGACAUCGACCUCGAGUUUAUCGAGGCUCUACCACGCGUGAAGGGGAAGUCCGUCAUAGUGACAGUGGUGGAUCGCUUUAGCAAGUAUUGUCAUUUUAUUCCUUUGGCUCACCCGUACUUUGCUGAGACUGUGGCACAGGUGUUCUUCACUGACAUCGUGCGCCUCCAUGGGAUGCCCCAAUCCAUGGUCUCCGAUCGCGAUCCUGUGUUCACGUCCACGUUUUGGAAGGAAUUGAUGUGUCUCAUGCGCACCAAGCUACAUAUGACCAUUGCGUUUCACCCGCAAUCGGAUGGCCAAACCGAGGCAGCCAACCGCAUCAUCGCCAUGUACUUGCGCUGCUUCACCGGCGAUUGUCCGCGGGAUUGGCUCCGGUGGCUGCCAUGGGCGGAGUUUACAUACAACACCGCCUAUUAGUCUUCCCUGCGCGAGACGCCCUUCCGAGUGGUCUAUGGACGUGAUCCCCCAACCAUCCGGUCCUAUGGGGCUGGUGACACUAGGGUGGCUGCCGUCGCCACAACAAUGGCUGAGCGCGAGGCGUUCCUCGACGACGUCCGCUUUCGCCUGGAACAAGCUCAGGCGGUACAGAAGCACCACUACGAUAAAGCUCAUCGCCAUGUCUCCUAUGCUGUGGGGGAUUGGGUUCUGCUUCGCCUACGUCAACGACCCAUGAUGUCCAUGUCCGUUGCCGCGAAGGGAAAGCUGCAGCCCUGUUUCUUCGGGCCUUACCGCAUCAUCGAGCUCGUCAAUGAGGUGGCUGUCCGCCUCGAGUUGCCUCCCCGCGCCAAACUACAUGAUGUCUUCCACGUCGGUCUUCUCAAGAAGUGGGUCGGCAACCCUCCGGCAGCUCCGCCGCCGCUAUCGGCGAUACAACAUGGGGCCAUCAUCCCUGAGCCGGAAAGGCAAUCCCUGAGCCGGAAACAGUGCACCCGGCUGGCCCAUGGCAUUCAGCAGGUUCUUAUUCGCUGGAAAGGCAAACCAGCAGCAUAACUAGUCAAAAAAAAACCAGCAGCAUCGGCGACAUGGGAAGACCUUGAAGCGUUCUCUGCCAAGUACCCGUCCUUCCAGCUCGAGGACGAGCUGGUUGUCGAGGCGGGGAGGGAUGUCAUGUGCGGCAUUCCCUAUACCAGAAGAAGGCACGCCCGCGACGUACGCAGGGCGGCCGAGCGAGCCGCGACCAGAGGCCAGGAGGCUGUGGCGCGCACCCAGACGCAGGCGAGGGAGGCCCAACCGACUAGUGGCUAAGAUUAGGAAACAAAUUAGAUUUAUUCCUUUUAUUUAGGAGUGAUUUCCUCCAUGAGGUUAGCAGCUUGGACUAUUUAUUCUUGUAAUCAGCAUUGGUUGAAUUAAGCAAGAACAAUUAUCUCCUUCUCCCUCGUUCUCUAGCCCAGGCAGCCGUGAGGGGCAUAACCUCCACUACUGGAAGACACGGCAGGAGACUACGAACUCCGUAAUCGAGGGCCGCCUAUCCUAGAUCGCUACGCCCUUGACAAAAGCAAUCGUUAUUCCUGAUUUUGAUACUUAAAUAUCAAACUGCAAUAUGAAAACUGUUUUGUACUGCUUUUGGUAGGGUCUGUUGAAUCUUCCCUGAACCCUGCACCCUAGGGAAGCAAAAAAGAAUAGAACAUUGUUCAAGUAGUAACACGUCUAACUGUCUAUUCAGGCAUAUUGGUUAAUGCAAUUUUAGAAAGCCUACUUGCUCCUCAACAUCUUGUCCUUGCUGUUGGAAUAUAAGUGAAUUGCCCACCUCUCCCCAUCAGCUUAAACUUUUGAGUUGAAUUGGUUGGUGCAUGCAACUCAAUAUGAUAUCAAAGCUAGAGGUCUCGAGUUUGAAUCCUGGAUAGCACAAUUAAAUAAAUAAUUGCUGCUCGCUCCUAUUCCACGUCUGAGGCCUGAGGGAGCCUGCACGUGAGGGGGAGUGUUGGAAUAUAAGUGAAUUGCCCACCUCUCCCCAUCAGCUUAAGCUUUUGGGUUGAACUGGUUGGUGCAUGCAACUCAAUACUUGCAUUGGAGACAUCAUAUAAUGGAUUUGCGGGUCUAAUGCUCAUAACUGUAUCUGCAUCCCAGGAGGGCGGUGACAACCCUAGGGCAACUGCCACUGGCCUUCAGGCUGUCAUGAGUCAUUGUAUUUAUAGGAAGUUUUACCUUUUGUUAGUUAGAAAAAAUCAUAUAGUUUAUAAGAUCCCAUGUUUAUAUGAAUAGAGAUAUGAAUCAUGAUUAAUCAAGCAAGAUGUUAAGGGUCAAGCCCACUUCUGAUGUUAGCCGUCACUACAAGGCUCUUGAGCCGCCUCUCUGCCCUGCUGCACCACCUUCAUGGCCGC